AGAGUUUGAUCCUGGCUCAGAUUGAACGCUGGCGGAAUGCUUUACACAUGCAAGUCGAGCGGCAGCGCGGGGCAACCUGGCGGCGAGCGGCGAACGGGUGAGUAAUGCAUCGGAACGUGUCCAUGUCGUGGGGGAUAGCCCGGCGAAAGCCGGAUUAAUACCGCAUACGCCCGAGAGGGGAAAGUGGGGGACCGCAAGGCCUCACGCGAUUGGAUCGGCCGAUGUCCGAUUAGCUAGUUGGCGGGGUAAAGGCCCACCAAGGCGAUGAUCGGUAGCUGGUCUGAGAGGAUGGUCAGCCACACUGGGACUGAGACACGGCCCAGACUCCUACGGGAGGCAGCAGUGGGGAAUUUUGGACAAUGGGGGCAACCCUGAUCCAGCCAUUCCGCGUGAGUGAAGAAGGCCUUCGGGUUGUAAAGCUCUUUUGUCCGGAACGAAACGGGCGACGUGAAUAUCGUCGUCUACUGACGGUACCGGAAGAAUAAGCACCGGCUAACUACGUGCCAGCAGCCGCGGUAAU
This 520-nucleotide ribosomal RNA is filed under the name uncultured soil bacterium. RNAcentral's name for it is "bacterial SSU rRNA". It matches the Rfam family "Bacterial small subunit ribosomal RNA", at positions 8 to 524 of the family's 1533-position model. The record is from RNAcentral.